AAAUAAUGCGCGGGAAAAAGCUUAAAAUAACUUGAGGAAAAUACAAAAUCAAUAUUUGAAUUCUUACUGGCAAGCUAUCAGACUCGCGUUGCCAGUGGUCUUCUGCUCGAUUCUCUCGUUCAUUAUUUGUUUGGUUCCUGAGAAAAUAUUGGAUUUUGCCGGUGGAAUCAAGAACAAACUGAGAGCUUUAUCGGUUGCUUCAAAUUUCGUAACUAUUACUGCUUUGGUACAUUAUAUUUUCUCUCUCAUCAACGAUCUCAGUUUUUUAUUUUAUUUUUCAUCGAUUUCUAUUGAUAUACAACAUCAAUCUGAUCUGUAACUUUAUUGAAUUUCAUUCUAUUUGAGCAACAAUUCUUUUGAAUUUCAAUUAUUUUAUUUUGCUCUUCUUUUCUUCACUGUAUAUUAUCUCAAAGUUUUAUGUUGAAAAGAUGUUUGAUGUUUUGCCUAAAUGAAGUGCUAUUUCUAGCUAAUGAAAUUAACUCAGGAGCAAAGUAGUCUUCCUGGUUUUUAACUUGGGAUGAUAACAUGACAUAGGCAACACUUUUGCUUGGCAUGCCUUGCAUAUAUCCAUCAAUAAAUACACAAAUAUUCUGAAUUGACUUCAUUGUUUUACUUUGGAUGAUAACAAAUACUUUUGGGGUGGCAAAUCAAUUCUAAUGGCGGCAUUUUUAGUAAACCCAAACUUUAGUGUUUACUGUGUUCUUAGAUUGCAAGAAAUAUAAUAGUCAAAUUUUAUUUUAUUUAUCAGGAGAAAGAAUUGGAAUGGGGCAAAAGCUUUAGAGCUUGGGAAAAAUAAACCAUUUUGCCCGAACCAGGUAUGUAUGAUAAAAACCUGUAAAAGUACCAUGGAAGCUCUUGCACUAAUAAUUAGAUUGUAUUUUGUUCAUCUACUUAAAAAAAUGGACAAAUUAGUCCCUAUACAUUAGAUCAAAGAGCAAAUUGAUCAUUUUGUUAAUAAUUCUAUCCAUUUUUACUGUUAAAUAUUGGUUAUUGUAUAUCAGUAUGAGGAACACGUGGCACGUCACUUGUCAUUGUUUAAUUAUUUCGUUAGCUACAUUAGUUUUAACAGUUAAAAUGUAUGAAAUUUUUAAUAGAAAUGAUUGAUUUGCUAUUUAAUUUAAGGCACUCAUUUUUUAAUAGAAAUAAUAAAAUAUAAUUUGACUUCUAGUACUAGGGCCUCAUGAUACACUUUUACCGAUAAAAACCAUGUUUUGAGUUCUAAUUGUUUAGCUUGUAUUGUGUGUUAUGUUAGGUAAUCAGUGGUAGAAUAGUGCAUUGCAUGUUUCUCCAUUUCACCUUCUAAAUGGUUAUAAUUUGCUAUUUUUAUAUCUCUUACGCUUGAGGGUAAAUGAAUCAUACAUUAAGUCAGACAUAUGUUGCAUUUGACACUUACCUAUAUUUGCAUAAAAUGUAUCCAAUAUUUAUCUGAAUUCGAAGAUAUAUGAAAGGGAAUUUUUGAUACACAUGUAAGUAAACACAUCUGUCUGCAGUUUUUCAUUCUCAAACUUUGAACAAUUCAGUAACAAACUGGCUUGUAUUAAUAUAUAUCAUCUAUAUAUAUGCAUGAAAUAUUAUCAUCAUCUAUAUAUGUAUAUGAAUGAUCCACAUGUAUGUAAGUACGCACAUUUUUAUUAAAAGAAAUUAAAGGUAAAGUUCCAUAAGUGAUUUUUAAAGAAAAUAAAAAGUCAAAUAGUUUAGUAACUGAAAUUGGCAAAAUAGUCUUCAAAUCAUUUUCUCCUUUUUUUUAAAAGAAAAAAUUAUUUAUACUAACAAGUGGAGAUUAACCAUAUUUCACCUGCAAUUUUCCUUCUACCUUGAUCAUCCUAUAAAACAUGUAACUUCAUUUUUUUUUUUUUUUUUUCAAAUUAAACUUUUGGUUAUAUAAUAAUCCUCCAUGUCUUUGAUUAUUCAUCUUGUUGUCACACAUGGCUGCCUCCAUCCAUGAUUAUGAUGAUGAUCUUGAUGAUGGUUCAUAACCUGCUCUUGACAUCUCUUCAAACCAUCUUCAGUCACUCUAUGUUUCCAUGAUUCUUCAACUUUCUCUUGUUUUUCUUCAUUGAUUUUAGAGGAAAUAUCUUGAUCAUUAUGACUUCUAAACAGAUGCAAUCUCAACCGACCAUUUUCCCUGACAGCAUGUAAAAUAUCAGGUCUCUGUAUUUUAACCUCAGUUAACUCCAGUCUCCCAUCUUUUCUCACCGGUUUUAGGUAAAAACAUGGCUGCCCAUUUUCAUUCAAUGAAGAAAGUGGUGGUGGAAACAACUUACUAUAAUUCCUUUCUAUUCUCAUUUUUCCAUUACUUCUUUUCUUUCUCCAUCUAUCCCUUUCUCUUUCACAAAACUCCACCAUCUGUUGAUGAUAAUGAUGAUCAUUAUCAUCAUCAUCGUCAUCAUCAACAAGAAUCCUUCUCUCUUCACAACUCUCCAACCCUAUACUCUCUGUACAUGACAUAAGCCCGUCCACCCCACCACCUAUAUCAUCUAUAAAUCCUAUCCCACCAGGGUCUUUCAUUUUCAAUGGCGGAGGUGGCAACGGUGGCGGCGGCGGAGGCUGUGAUAUAAGUUUAAUAUCAUUGACAAGUACUAAUGAAGAGGACACAAUAACAUUUGGAUUAACAACCCUAGGUGUUUCAUCAUUGAAAAUCAACCCUAAUCCACAUUUAGAAAAACGAAGAUAAUUACGAGAAUUCAUACUAAUGUUUAAUAAACCAAAAAUAGUACUUCAACAUGAAUUGUGAGUAGUAAAAGCAUUGAUACAAGUAAGUUUUAGUGCAAAAUAGUUGAAAAAAAGAGAUAAGAAGAAGAUGAAAAUGGAAAUGGAAAGAAAAGGAUCAUAUUCAUAUGAAAAAUAAAAAUAAAAACAAUUUUUUUUAAUUUUUUAAAAAAGGAUUUGAAGAAGAAGAGAAGGAGAUGGGGUUAUUAAUAACAUCCUCAAGCCAAAGAUAGGGAAAGAAAAAAAAAUUAAAAGAAAAAACAAAAAUUAAAGAGAAAAUAUGGUGAAGAGUGUGCCAACGUGAAUGAUAGAGUAAACGGUGCCGCGUCCCAUGAACUAUUGCCUUAACCUUCGGUAUCAUCUUAAUAAAUUAUUUAGUUUCUUUGAUUUCUUCUUAUAAUUCUAUAGUCAAAUUAAUGGGAUGAGCCAUUUGGCAAUGGCUGCUAAAGAUACUUUGGACUUGAAGAUGAGUUUCAUAUAUAUGUAUGUAUUUGAAAUUAAUAAUAUAAUUUUUUGAGAAUUUUAAAAUUAGUUAUAUUAUAUAUUACAUUAUGCGUAUGUGUUUAAUAUGUAUUUAACAUUUAUAUUAUUAUAUCAUAUUUAAAUGUGGAAUGUGGAUAUUUUUAAGAAAGAAUUUGUACAACAUAAAACCCCAUAAUGGAUUGCCUUGUAAUUCAUAAAUUUAUAAGUAAGAUGGAAUCUUUGUAGUUUAAUAUAAUGUUCAAAGAAAUGUAAUUUACAUUGACAUUCACUCGGAUUUAAUUAAAAGUGACUCAAUUUUUAACUCAAUUAUUAAAUUUUAGAAAAAUAACAAAUCAGUUAUCAGUAACCACAUGUCAUGUUAACUGGUCACGUUGGCAUCAAAUUAGAAGAAGAAGAAACUGGUGUUUUCUCCGGUGCAAAAACCCUAAAACCUUUGAUCUUCAGUGACUCAUUUCAUAUCUCAACCUGACCCAAUCUGGGUCUAAUUCCUUUUCUCCUUCUUCAAAUGAAAAAAACCCCAGAUAAAGUGUUCAAACAAAAAUUAGGAAAAAAAAAAAGUGAAGUGAUUGUUGCGGAGCGUAAGCACUUGGAGUUAGCUUAACCCGUUUAAGGUAGGUACAGGACCUGAAAUGUUAUUUCAUUGUACCUCUAAACGCUCAAGUUCAACAAGGUUCUGAAGAUCUGAAGGAAGUGUACCUUGUAGGUUCUGAUGACCAAUUUGGAUCCGAGUGACGUGCUUGUCCUC
RNAcentral lists this long non-coding RNA (3937 nucleotides) under Gossypium barbadense (sea-island cotton). Its description in RNAcentral is "long non-coding RNA (GBAR_LNC018878)". Lineage: Eukaryota; Viridiplantae; Streptophyta; Magnoliopsida; Malvales; Malvaceae. The record is from RNAcentral.